CUGAUAGCUCAGUUGGUAGAGCGACGGACUGUUAAUCCGCAGGUCCCUGGUUCGAGUCCAGGUCGG
This 66-nucleotide transfer RNA is filed under the name Gallionellaceae bacterium CG02_land_8_20_14_3_00_60_115. RNAcentral describes it as "tRNA-Asn". It matches the Rfam family "tRNA". Rfam says of the family: Transfer RNA (tRNA) molecules are approximately 80 nucleotides in length. The record is from RNAcentral. Lineage: Bacteria; Pseudomonadati; Pseudomonadota; Betaproteobacteria; Nitrosomonadales; Gallionellaceae.